AAGAGGCGUAUGAACAAUCUAGAACUGCUACCUCAAGAACCCAAGGCUAAAAUCCUCGGGCCUCUU
RNAcentral lists this transfer RNA (66 nucleotides) under Bipes canaliculatus. RNAcentral describes it as "tRNA-Ser". Lineage: Eukaryota; Metazoa; Chordata; Lepidosauria; Squamata; Bipedidae. The record is from RNAcentral.